This 460-nucleotide ribosomal RNA is filed under the name uncultured bacterium. RNAcentral's name for it is "partial 16S ribosomal RNA". It matches the Rfam family "Bacterial small subunit ribosomal RNA", at positions 338 to 795 of the family's 1533-position model. The record is from RNAcentral.
CCUACGGGAGGCAGCAGUGAGGAAUAUUGGUCAAUGGACGAGAGUCUGAACCAGCCAAGUAGCGUGAAGGAUGACUGCCCUAUGGGUUGUAAACUUCUUUUAUAAAGGACUAAAACGAGGCACGUGUGCCUUUUUGCAUGUACUUUAUGAAUAAGGAUCGGCUAACUCCGUGCCAGCAGCCGCGGUAAUACGGAGGAUCCGAGCGUUAUCCGGAUUUAGUGGGUUUAAAGGGAGCGUAGAUGGGUUGUUAAGUCAGUUGUGAAAGUUUGCGGCUCAACCGUAAAAUUGCAAUUGAUACUGGCAGUCUUGAGUACAGUUGAGGUAGGCGGAAUGCGUGGUGUAGCGGUGAAAUGCUUAGAUAUCACGAAGAACCCCGAUUGCGAAGGCAGCUUACUAAACUGUGACUGACAUUGAUGCUCGAAAGCGUGGGUAUCAAACAGGAUUAGAUACCCCAGUAGUC